This 286-nucleotide unclassified non-coding RNA is filed under the name Bombus terrestris (buff-tailed bumblebee). RNAcentral's name for it is "misc RNA ENSBTSG00005021311.1". Lineage: Eukaryota; Metazoa; Arthropoda; Insecta; Hymenoptera; Apidae. The record is from RNAcentral.
GUGGCGAGUUGUGCAAAACGAGGAAACUGGUUAAUCGGGGUUCGAUAAACUGAUUGCAGCACCCUUUUACGCUUUGACAAGUGCCAGUCAUUUUGACUGGUAUUGGUAUAAGUAGCUUUGAUACAAAAUUAUUUUCAGUUCGAAUACAUAAAAAGCAAAAUAAAAUUCAUUAUAUUAUUCUUUUAGUUAUCGUUGCGAAAGUCAUUACAUCAUUGCGGAAUAAAAAUAUAACACGAAGUAGGAAUUUUAAAGUAAAAUUGUAAAACCAGUCAAUUUGACUGGCGUG